This 344-nucleotide long non-coding RNA is filed under the name Rosa chinensis. RNAcentral describes it as "sRNA RchiOBHm_Chr7g0180861". Lineage: Eukaryota; Viridiplantae; Streptophyta; Magnoliopsida; Rosales; Rosaceae. The record is from RNAcentral.
AUGGAACUGGGUGUUAAGCAAUUUUGGUUGGAGCUUGAAGGCUGCAUAUAUUCAAGAAGUUGGAAAGACGUUUGGAGACUUAAGGAUUCUGCUAUGAGGUUAGUAUGAUCACUGACUAAUUUAAUGGAGUCAGCGUAUUCCUUGCGAUUGCUCUAUGUCUGUAUUGCAAUUACCAUGACCAUUUUAACUCAAAUAAUGUUAAGUUUUUGACACUGCAAUCUUUUUACUAUCACACCACCAUCGUGUCUAACUUCAUUAGUUCUGGUAUAUCAUAGAUUUUGAUUUAUUGACUUGAAAUAUCACCUGAAAUCUUAGUCCUACGUUGUUAAUGAAAUUUGGUUAUA